UAAAACGUAGGAGGCAAGCGUUAUCCGGAGUUACUGGGCGUAAAGCGUGCGUAGGCGGAUGGGUAAGUGGGUGGUGAAAGCGCUCGGCUAAACCGGGCGAGUGCCAUUCAGACUGCUCGUCUAGAGGCGGAUAGAGGGGUGCGGAAUUCCGGGUGUAGCGGUGAAAUGUGUAGAGAUCCGGAGGAACACCAGUGGUGCAAACGGCGCCCUGGGUCCGAACUGACGCUGAUGCACGAAAGCGUGGGGAGCGAACGGGAUUAGAGACCCCGGUAGUCCACGCCGUAAACGAUGUCAACUAGGUGUCCACUUGGCUACGGUCAAGGGGGUGCCGACGCUAACGCACUAAGUUGACCGCCUGGGGAGUACGGUCGCAAGGCUA
RNAcentral lists this ribosomal RNA (379 nucleotides) under uncultured bacterium. Its description in RNAcentral is "bacterial SSU rRNA". It matches the Rfam family "Bacterial small subunit ribosomal RNA", at positions 521 to 896 of the family's 1533-position model. The record is from RNAcentral.